RNAcentral lists this long non-coding RNA (1135 nucleotides) under Marmota monax (woodchuck). Lineage: Eukaryota; Metazoa; Chordata; Mammalia; Rodentia; Sciuridae. The record is from RNAcentral.
CUAAAUCAGAGGCACUUUUCUGGAGGUUAAGGCAAGUGUGACAUAGUGGAUAUUUCCCCCUGUCUUUGGAGUAGUUUAACCUUCAUCCUGUGCUUGAAGGGAAGUUCUCCUUUAAGUGUAGCUCCUCCCUCUAGUUCAGCCUUCAUCCUGAAGGGAAGUUCUCCUUUAAGCAUAGCUCCUCCCUCUCUGCUCCUGAUUGGUCUUGUCAGGCAUCAAUCCUUGUAGCGUGAGUGUUUAUUGAUACACCUGCCCUGUGCUGCCACCAGUGUGGCUCCCUUCUGGGCAACUGUCAGGCAGCCUCUCUCUGCUGAUCACCUAGGAGAAUGGCAGACCCUAUGAGACUGGGCGCUCUGCUGCUCCUGGUCGGCACUGCUCUUUGUGCACCUCUGGGUUCCGCGGUUGGUGAGUGGGCUCAUGAUGGUUCUUCAAAGCGGGAGAUGCCAGGAGAAUCCAAGGAGCCUCUACCAGGCUUGGCGGGCUCUGGAAUUGGGGGGAGAAGUGCGGGGCGGGACGCAGCUCCUUUGCCACAAAAUCUCAACUCCUCUUUUCAGGGCAUACCCCACCACCUCCUCCCGCAUCUGCAUGGGUGCUGCACCUUUUUUCCCUCCCUCCCCUCACAGCCUUGCCCUUCCUUUCGAACAGCCCGGUUCUUCCAAUGCCCUUGAGUCCCUUCUUUGCCUCCUGCUUUGAUCUUUGAGAGAGACUCAACUCCCUUAGAGGUCUGCCUUUCAUGGGAGCACUUUAUCAAAAUUGAUAGAUUUUGAGACAGUUUCCAGCCCCCCACCCCCAAGCCCUGUCCUCUUCCUGGAGUCAGCAGCGUGCUCCCACGGAGCGCUCAGUAUCUGGAGUUAGGGAUCUUCCUCUCUCCUUUCUGUUGCUAUGGGCACUGUGGUUUCUCUAGUCAGACUGAGGGAGCUUAGAAGCCAAGGACUUCUGGGCCAAGAGAUUCUUCUUGUGACUUCUCUCAUCUCCACCCUCAAGGUCCCUUGCUUUCCUGCAGCCUGGGGGGCGGGGUUUUCUCCCUCCUGCACCCUAAUAUGAACUCCAUUGUUCCCACCACAUCUCUCCGUGCCUCCUCAGCUGCCUGUCUCACACCUGUCACCCAGUCCAGUUGCCCUCCCCCUCCCUGCUCUCC